RNAcentral lists this ribosomal RNA (468 nucleotides) under uncultured bacterium. RNAcentral's name for it is "partial 16S ribosomal RNA". It matches the Rfam family "Bacterial small subunit ribosomal RNA", at positions 28 to 507 of the family's 1533-position model. The record is from RNAcentral.
GACGAACGCUGGCGGCGUGCUUAACACAUGCAAGUCGAACGGAAAGGCCCUGCUUUUGUGGGGUGCUCGAGUGGCGACCGGGUGAGUAACACGUGAGUAACCUGCCCUUGACUUUGGGAUAACUUCAGGAAACUGGGGCUAAUACCGGAUAGGAGCUCCUGCUGCAUGGUGGGGGUUGGAAAGUUUCGGCGGUUGGGGAUGGACUCGCGGCUUAUCAGCUUGUUGGUGGGGUAGUGGCUUACCAAGGCUUUGACGGGUAGCCGGCCUGAGAGGGUGACCGGCCACAUUGGGACUGAGAUACGGCCCAGACUCCUACGGGAGGCAGCAGUGGGGAAUAUUGCACAAUGGGCGGAAGCCUGAUGCAGCAACGCCGCGUGCGGGAUGACGGCCUUCGGGUUGUAAUCCGCUUUCGCCUGUGACGAAGCGUGAGUGACGGUAAUGGGUAAAGAAGCACCGGCUAACUACGUG